AGGCUUCUUGCUCUCGCUGCCGCCGGUCAAUACUUUCGAUGUUCUCCGAAUUCAACGAGCUUUUUUUUCCGGUCAAGUUCUUCAGUGAAACUGUGUUCAAUCUGCGCCUCUCUCAACUUUAAUCCCUGCGUGUCUGAAUCCCCCUUUUUUAAUGGUCUUCCGUUUUAUGUUUCUGGAUGCGGAUUACAUGUUCCUUACAUUGCCUGAAAGAAUUUUACCGUCACCCAGUUCUCUAACUUUUUUUUACAACCACUGGCACUGUGCGCUUGCCGUAUGCUGAAAUUAUUCCUAACUGAGAAGCAAAUUCCUGAUAUCAGGGUUCUAAAAGUUCCCUUUUCAGAAGUUUGUUUAUUCAUCCACUUAUGCCCACAGCUGAUUCUCCAUUUCUGUUCAUGUUUGAAUGGUGGUAAAUGGUACCCCCACUCGUUAUUUCUGGGAAUAUUUGUCAACUUGUUGUGCAGCCCAAAUUCAAAAGCUCAUAUUUACUGUCGAAUCUUUUUUAACUUUCGAGCAAAUAAUGAUUGUCAAACAUUUUUCUUACUUUUGAUUGGCCUGCUAAUGUCAAUGGAAGCUCAUGGCUUAUGGAUUUACCUAAGAGGGUGGAGGCAAUAUGGAUUUUGCAAUAACAUAUAAGCGCUGCUAAACAGGUAAGUUUCUUGUUUGUCUCAGCUUUCAAUUGCAUCUGGAUGGCAUAGAUACUUGGUGACUGACUGUGAUUUGUUCAUUAGCAUAAGUUAUCAUAAAUUGGUGAUAAAAAUGGAGACAGUUUUGGACUAAGAUAGAUACCCCAAGUGUCUAAUUUUCUGAAUUAUACAUGUUGUGUUAGGAUUUAGUACCUAUUUUUCCCAUGACCAAAUUCGCUAUAUCUAUGUGCUCUGGUCGGUAUAGAAUAACAUGUAUGAUCCCUGGUUUGAUUGGAGAAAAGAUAUGUCUUUUCAUCCAAGAACAAUUCCAAUUUUUUUUCUGGAAAGGUAGAUACUUUUCUCAGUAAUGGAGUCUCCACCAUGUCCAAAGAGAAGACUUGCUUCUCUGAAUCUUAUUCUCAAGUGAGGACCCCGCAAACCACUCCUCGAGGUAUAAAAUACCAACCACCACGUAAACACGUGUUUUGGUUGCCCAACUGAUAUGAUUUCUAUACUUACAUGCCAAGUAACAUGUGAAGAUGUUCGUAGGCUCUGUUUUCUUUAGUCUGUUUGAGCUGCCUACUUAAUAUUUAAGAUUACUGGUGGAUUGAGAUGAACUAGAAAGAGCGAGUGAGGUUCACUUUGGUUAUUUUAUUGCUCCUGGUACUAUAUUGGAUCAUCAUUACAUUGGAGAAGUGGGACCAAUAAGAGAAUGUUUAAUCGCAAGAAAAUCCGUUUUUGUUAUUCAUACAUUCAUAGUACUGGAUCCAGGGGCCUCCCGUAGAUUCUUCUCUGCUAGAAAUCGAGAAGCUUGGCAAGUGAAUUUUUUACCAUCUGAUGCUCUUUAACAUCACGAGUUGCUGUCCCUUCUUCCAUUGCAAGUUGGUAUGUUCUGCUUAGCCUAGAACUCGAGCCAUUUUUUUAGGACUGUAGGUAUUACUACGUAGGUAGCAUCAUGAAUAAAUUUGUAGCCAUAGAUCUCUUCCAAAUGAAAUGGACGAUCCAAUUUGUUAGCUGUCUUUGUGAGAAUAACCUUUUGAUAGAAAAUGAGGGAUUCCAGUCCACUUCAGAGUUGAAGGGUUCUCGACUCACUAUACACGGAGAACAAGCUUAGUGCCUAAUAUUUAUUCUCCCUCAUACCUCUAUGCCAAGUAGCCGCACCAUAUAAAUUCCUCUAGGUAAAAUAAUUGAACAAAAAGAGAGGAAAAAGAACAUAUAAAGGGUAUUUGAUUGCUUUUUUCUUUUUUUUCCCGGAUAUGUCCUGGAAUUGGAAUGGUGACCAAGUUAUUAAUCAAUCAAGUAGUCCUCUCCAGCUUAUGGCUUGGUUGAAGUGGACCCUUCAGUAUGUCUUUUAAUAAGAAUCAAGACUCCACUUCAGAACUAGUUGAUAAGAAAAACAAAUAAAACAAAGAAGCUCCUUGCGAAUCAGAACUUUCCAGCCCCAUCCCCUGCCAAUAAUACGAAAAAUCUAUGCGUUACAAAUAAGCAGGUGUAUGGUUGGCUUAGUUUCCUCCUAUCUUUUUUUGGAUGAAUAGUUUCCUCCUAUCAAGGCAUAAAAACAAAAAAAUGGAACUUGAUGAACAAUAUAGAGAGUGAUUGAAAAAAGAAUUUACAAGCUGCUUUUCCAGUAAAUGAAUAAUAGCAAGUUGUACAUCUUUAUGAUUAGCCUCUCAAUUUCUUAAUAGUUACUGGAGGCCCUAUAUUGUUUCGGUAUAAUACUUGUAUAAGGUUUCUAGAGUAAUAUAGUACUUGGAAUCACAAGUCAAAUGGGUUUUUUAUCUUGGUUACACUUGAUGCAUCCUUGGCCUUGUUUGACGACUUGCAUCUGCAAGGAUCUGCCUCAAUCAACAGUUGGACAACCUCACUCAUGGUUGGCCUUAGAGCUGGAUUCUUGUAGGUGCAUCGGAUUGCAAUUCUGAGGACUUGGAUCAUCUCAUCCCUGAAAGAACCCAAUAGUUUUUUGUCUAAGACCUCCAUGACUCCUUCCUUGGUUUCCACUUUCGUUGAAACCCAGUAAAUGAUGUUCUUGUUGUCUCCAAAGUCUGCUUCUACAGGCUUCCUCCCAGUUAUUAGUUCCAGCAGCACAACCCCGAAGCUGUACACGUCGCACUUAGUUGUUGCCUUUGAUGAGAAUGCAUAUUCUGUGAAAGCAUGCAUAAACUAAUGAAAACCCAAGUAAAGAAGUCUGCUUGUUUAUAUUGCAUAAUAUUUUUCAGUACCUGGGGCCAAGUAACCGUAGGUGCCUGCAAUAAGAGUCGUUGUGGAAUCUUUUCCUCCUCUAGCUUGCAAAACCUUUGCUAUCCCGAAAUCUGCCACCUUUGGAUGGUUGUUAAUAUCCAAAAGUAUGUUGCUUGACUUGAUGUCGCGGUGGAUGAUAGGUGGCAACAGGUCAUGAUGCAGGUAUGCUAGGCCCUGAGCAACCCCGAGUGCUAUUUGAUGGCGGGUAGGCCAAUUCAGAUGAGUCCAACCUUUAUGAAGUGCAUCCCAUAGAUUUCCAUUUGGCAUGUACUCAUAAACCAGCAAGUUGACGUCCAAGCUGGAGAAGUAACAGUAAAGCUUGACUAUGUUUUUAUGCCUUAUAUUUCCCAGAGUCUCAACCUCAGUCUUCAAUUCCUUGUCCAGAAGCAACUGAACAUCUGCUGCAGAAUCUUUGCUUCUCUU
RNAcentral lists this long non-coding RNA (3284 nucleotides) under Linum usitatissimum (flax). RNAcentral's name for it is "long non-coding RNA (LUSI_LNC005395)". Lineage: Eukaryota; Viridiplantae; Streptophyta; Magnoliopsida; Malpighiales; Linaceae. The record is from RNAcentral.